Molecule: long non-coding RNA, 419 nt
Organism: Stegodyphus dumicola
Lineage: Eukaryota; Metazoa; Arthropoda; Arachnida; Araneae; Eresidae
Gene: Ufd1
Source: RefSeq, a predicted model, not a curated record
UGUUAAUUACUUUGUAUGUUCAUUUGUAAUGUUUUAUAUUUUGUGCUGGUUUGGCAGGCAUUUUGUGGAAAAGGAAAUAGACUGGAUGGUAAAACAAAGGAAGUAGAAAUAUCUGACAAAGCACUCAAUGCACCUCCACCAAGAAGAGGGAUUCCUGAUUAUGAUAUGAAAUCGGAACUCUGAGGUUUAUACGAACAACUAAAACUGGUGAUAUUAAUAAUGGUAAAUCUGAAGAAGAUUCUUUUGAAGCUUUUUCAGGAAAAGGUUGGACUUUACGUCAGAAAGUUGGACGUUGAUAUUUUCUACAUGAUUAAGAUAUGUCCUAUAAUUUAAAUUUCAAGACUAUGUAUUAUAUGUGAAUAUAAUUUACUAAUGUGCAUAAAAAUACAUUUUUUACAUUAAAAAUUCUCACAGCUGUA